This 492-nucleotide ribosomal RNA is filed under the name uncultured bacterium. RNAcentral describes it as "partial 16S ribosomal RNA". It matches the Rfam family "Bacterial small subunit ribosomal RNA", at positions 29 to 507 of the family's 1533-position model. The record is from RNAcentral.
AGUGAACGCUGGCGGUAGGCCUAACACAUGCAAGUCGAACGGCAGCACAGUAAGAGCUUGCUCUUACGGGUGGCGAGUGGCGGACGGGUGAGGAAUACAUCGGAAUCUACUUUUUCGUGGGGGAUAACGUAGGGAAACUUACGCUAAUACCGCAUACGACCUACGGGUGAAAGCAGGGGAUCUUCGGACCUUGCGCGAGUGAAUGAGCCGAUGUCGGAUUAGCUAGUUGGCGGGGUAAAGGCCCACCAAGGCGACGAUCCGUAGCUGGUCUGAGAGGAUGAUCAGCCACACUGGAACUGAGACACGGUCCAGACUCCUACGGGAGGCAGCAGUGGGGAAUAUUGGACAAUGGGCGCAAGCCUGAUCCAGCCAUACCGCGUGGGUGAAGAAGGCCUUCGGGUUGUAAAGCCCUUUUGUUGGGAAAGAAAAGCAGCAGGUUAAUACCCCGCUGUUCUGGCGGUACCCAAAGAAUAAGCACCGGCUAACUUCGUG